GCCAGAUGCAGCUGUGCACACCUGUAAUCCCAGCAACUUGGGAGGCUGAGGCAGGAGGAUCACAAGCUCAAGGCCAGCCUCAGUAAUUUAGUGAGGUCCUAAGCAACUUAGUGAGACCCUGUCUCAG
RNAcentral lists this small RNA (127 nucleotides) under Marmota monax (woodchuck). Lineage: Eukaryota; Metazoa; Chordata; Mammalia; Rodentia; Sciuridae. The record is from RNAcentral.